Molecule: ribosomal RNA, 253 nt
Filed under: uncultured bacterium
Lineage: Bacteria
Description: partial 16S ribosomal RNA
Rfam family: Bacterial small subunit ribosomal RNA
Source: RNAcentral
UACGUAUGGGGCAAGCGUUAUCCGGAUUUACUGGGUGUAAAGGGAGCGUAGGCGGCGGGGCAAGCCUGAUGUGAAAGCCCGGGGCUCAACCCCGGGACUGCAUUGGGAACUGCCCUGCUGGAGUGCCGGAGGGGCAGGCGGAAUUCCUAGUGUAGCGGUGAAAUGCGUAGAUAUUAGGUGGAACACCAGUGGCGAAGGCGGCCUGCUGGACGGUGACUGACGCUGAGGCUCGAAAGCGUGGGGAGCAAACAGG